Molecule: ribosomal RNA, 442 nt
Filed under: uncultured bacterium
Lineage: Bacteria
Description: bacterial SSU rRNA
Rfam family: Bacterial small subunit ribosomal RNA
Source: RNAcentral
AACGCGAAGAACCUUACCUGGCCUUGACAUCCACGGAACCCCUGAGAGAUUGGGGGGUGCCUUCGGGAACCGUGAGACAGGUGCUGCAUGGCUGUCGUCAGCUCGUGUCGUGAGAUGUUGGGUUAAGUCCCGCAACGAGCGCAACCCUUGUCCCUAGUUGCCAGCACGUAAAGGUGGGAACUCUAGGGAGACCGCCGGUGACAAACCGGAGGAAGGUGGGGAUGACGUCAAGUCCUCAUGGCCCUUACGGCCAGGGCUACACACGUACUACAAUGGUGGGUACAAAGGGUUGCCAAGCCGCGAGGUGGAGCCAAUCCCAGAAAACCCAUCUCAGUCCGGAUCGGAGUCUGCAACUCGACUCCGUGAAGUCGGAAUCGCUAGUAAUCGCGGAUCAGCAAUGCCGCGGUGAAUACGUUCCCGGGCCUUGUACACACCGCUAGUC